Molecule: ribosomal RNA, 497 nt
Filed under: uncultured bacterium
Lineage: Bacteria
Description: partial 16S ribosomal RNA
Rfam family: Bacterial small subunit ribosomal RNA
Source: RNAcentral
GAUGAACGCUGGCGGCGUGCCUAAUACAUGCAAGUCGAGCGAACAGACGAGGAGCUUGCUCCUCUGACGUUAGCGGCGGACGGGUGAGUAACACGUGGAUAACCUACCUAUAAGACUGGGAUAACUUCGGGAAACCGGAGCUAAUACCGGAUAAUAUAUUGAACCGCAUGGUUCAAUAGUGAAAGACGGUUUUGCUGUCACUUAUAGAUGGAUCCGCGCCGCAUUAGCUAGUUGGUAAGGUAACGGCUUACCAAGGCGACGAUGCGUAGCCGACCUGAGAGGGUGAGCGGCCACACUGGAACGGAGACACGGUCCAGACUCCUACGGGAGGCAGCAGUAGGGAAUGGUCCGCAAUGGGCGAAAGCCUGACGGAGCAACGCCGCGUGAGUGAUGAAGGUCUUCGGAUCGUAAAACUCUGUUAUUAGGGAAGAACAAAUGUGUAAGUAACUAUGCACGUCUUGACGGUACCUAAUCAGAAAGCCACGGCUAACUACGUG